AGGAGCAGACCAGCUUCUCACCACCUUGGCGAGCUCUCCCAAGAGUGCUUUUGCGGGUGGAAACCUGGGAGCUGCUUUCCCCCAGCGCAGCCUCCUUUCCAGCAAGGCGCUUUCUCCCCGUGAAGCAAACGAUGCUCCAGAGCGCAACGAUCUGGAUCGUGACUUCAAGCGCGAUCCUGACUGCGUGGCGGUGCCUGAACCGUUCCCAUCACAGGAGAAGCCACAGGGGGCUGUGACUCAGCUGCGCCUGAGUCAUGCGUCCCCAUCCCGCCGUGCUCCCGGGGGACCAUGCUUCGCCUCCACCCGUGCCUCCGUCGGCAAUGAACCACGGCUCAGGCCUCGGCGAGGUGGAUGGGCCCCAGACCGUGGCCGUUCCUUGCUGGUUCUUGCCAGCUGCUAAGGUAAGCUUAGAUCCUCCUUCAGCAUUUCCUCGCCGUAAGGAUCUUUCCUCAAGCAAAUCUCUCUGUGCCUGGAGCUGGCAGCAGCGGCUGCAUGUGUGAGUGCUGUGAAGAACCUGCCCCUUGGAUCAGCCCAGGUUCAAUUCAGUGCUCCGAUACCUGCUGGAUGUGUCUUUCCUUGAUAGCUUUGUAACAUCUAAAGGAAAGAAAAGAAGAUGAAGAGGAAGCAAAGUGUAUGUGUCUUGAUCGCGACAGGGCUACAGCUCUCUGGAUGUUAGCUCUUCCAUGUGCUGUAGCAGGGAAGUUUUUGGUCUCUAUUAAAUCACGUUUUGAGUCAAUGGAUCAUGUACAUGAAAGACCUGGAGCAACAGCUUCUAGAGGAUGACAACAGGGUUGUGGAUCAAGACUUGUGCCUUUCUUUAUUGAUGGAAGAAAGUCAAGUCUAAAUUUGUGACUUUUUCCUGAAAGUCUUCAUGCAAUCUUAUUUGAAAGGG
Cygnus olor (mute swan) is the source of this 892-nucleotide long non-coding RNA. RefSeq lists it as uncharacterized. The record is from RefSeq and is a predicted model, not a curated record. NCBI's taxonomy places the organism in Eukaryota, Metazoa, Chordata, Aves, Anseriformes, Anatidae. The transcript is spliced from 4 exons.